CUACAAUUCAGAAUCUCGGAUAGAUAUUUUUGCUCCUACCAGAAGCUGUAAGCAGCAAGCACGUAAUAAUUGCGCACGCCAGAGCGCCAAGCUAAUAUGCCCAUGGCAGCGGAGCUUUUUGGCAAAGGAUCCUUCUUUUUCAUCCAUAGAGAGACCGUUGGUGGCCUUCUAAUGGCUGCGCCAGUCAACUAUCCUCUUCCGCUCAGACCCAUUUCUCAUUUCAGCUGCAGACCUCUGACGUCAAUGUGUCGGUGCACUCUCGAUUCCAAGUCCCCNCCGUUGGAGAACAAGUGUUUUCGGUUACUUCGUCCAGUAAAUACGGGUUUGAUUAUUUGGG
Molecule: unclassified non-coding RNA, 337 nt
Filed under: Hevea brasiliensis (rubber tree)
Lineage: Eukaryota; Viridiplantae; Streptophyta; Magnoliopsida; Malpighiales; Euphorbiaceae
Source: RNAcentral